UAUUUAUCAUAAAUAUUUUUCCUUUUUAUAAAUAUUUUAUAAAUUUUUGUGCUAUUUGAGAUAUGUAUAUAAUAGAUCUGUCUAUUAAUUGAGACAUUUGGAUAAUAAAAGCAAAUAUGUUCAAAAAGAGCUAAAAAUAUCUUUAUAUAAAAAUCAUGUGUAAAUUUGUAAAUUUGUGAAGUAAGUGAGCGAAGGCAAGGUCCAUAAAUAGACGAAGACGCAAAAUGAGAUCUUCUCAUCCACUUCAAAUAAUUUAAAUUAAAUUCGGCGACAUAGCUGUUCAAAAAUUAUAAUUCGUACGUCCGCACGUAUUAAUAAAUAUAGUUACGACCACGUUACGACGUGCACUAAUGCAAACUCACUGAAUCAAAAAUAGCGAUCGUGAAAAGACUUUAUCUUACGCCUUGGUCUACCUACGGACUUUAAAAUAAGGAUCUGUCAACUCUAUGAGAGACUAUGACUGCGUUCAAAAGCAGCUUUGCAACUGUCGGAAAAUUUUUUAAGACAAUUGGUUCUUGUGCCUUUAGUUCCUAUCAGAUCUAAAUGUGUAUAUCAAUCAUAAAAGAGUUUUAUAACAGUUCCAAAGCUGUUUUUUCUGCUGAAUGCAGCCAUUAUGUUCAAAAGAUAUAAUCUAACCUAAACUCAUUUUUUAAUCCUGAUUAACCCCAUCGGAAUUUCUGAUUUAAAACUAAAAUUAAGUUUGGAUUAGAUUACAUCUUUUAGCUCUUCAUAAAUCAAAACAUUUUUCCGCCCAUACAUAUUUUUUAAAUUUUUUUCUGAAAAAUGUGAUCUUUUAACACUUAAAUUGUUAUAAACAAUCACUAAGAAACAAUUGGGUGAAAAAAAACUUUAAAAACAGAUAAACUAAGUAUUUCUGUACAAGAAAAAUGAAGCAUUAUCAUUAGAAUCCCGAAACAAUUUUUAUAAUAUAAAAAUAAAAGAAAAACAAGUGGGAGAUAAUAUGAUAUGUCCAUGUAAAUACCCCCAUUUAUACAUAUAGGAGUUGAGGAGGAGGACAAAGUGGCAGCCAGUAGUAGACAAGUGGAACUUUUUGCGGACUUUUUUGGUGAGAAUGAGGGGAAUAAGUGACCGAAGACAUUAGUUAGGUAGAUUGAGAGAAAGCACGAAGUGAAAAAAAAGCCGGACAUUGGAGGAAAGGAGAAGAGAGAUUUCAUGCUGACGCUCGACGCUCUUUUUCAGCGUCAAGAUAGAUCACGUGAUCAAAGUUGACACUGGAUAGCGAAAAGCGCAUGAAAAGGAGUGUAGCGUGAAAUUUUAUUCAUAUAUUUAGUAGUAUAUAUAUAGUGUAUGUGUAUAUUAAAUACGUCAUUCCGAAAUAAAUACCAUACCCCGAUAGUAAAAUAUUUAUAAAAUUGUAUGACAAAAGAAUUGUAAAAGAUUUAUAAUCCGUCAUUAUGAGGGCAUAGUUGAGAAAAUAGAUGUAGAAACAUUAACCUUUUAUAAAACAUUAAUGAAUGUUUGCGCUAUUAAACUUGAAAUGAUAUGUUGUCAUAACAAUAGCAAUAUGGCGAAUCAUCUUAACAACACAUUUGCAAUUAAAUUUAGAAAUAAAUUGUGCAAUAAUUGAGAAAAAUAUUUCAGUCGUAACAUGUUUAAAAUAUUUAGAAACGUAAUUGUGCACAAAAGACUCAAAUUAUGCCCCAAUUAUUCCUAAAUUAUGAUGCACAAAUAUUGAAACAUGGAAUGUGUAAUAUUUGCAUUAUAAUAUUACACAGUGUAACAUUGCAUUAUAAUAUAGGAAUGAUUUAAGAGUUUCUGUCUGCUAUUACUAUCAAUGAGAUAUUUAACUCUCCAACGGACGCAACUAAUGUCAGACAAGGUGCCUCUUUUUUAAUCUUUGUUAAAUAUGUCUAGUGAAUAAGCGAUAUUUGUUAAAUUCAUUGUAAUACCUUUUGAUAUUAAUUUUGAAUUAAAUAUUGAAGAUUAAAUGUUGUAAAUAUUGCACAUUAUUAUUGUUGCAUUAUUGCUGCGUUAUAUUGUGAAAACAUUGAAGAUUAUAAUGUAAUAAUUUUAAAUGCUGAAAUAAUUGCAAAAUAUUUAUGUUUCAAUAUUUGUCUAAUCUUUAACAAAUAUUAUUUAAGAAUUAUAUUCUGACAAAACUGUUAUUAUGGCGAAUCAUCUUAGUACAAUCUUUAAUGCCAUUAUUGUGCAAUGUUUGCAAAAUCUUCCUAUCGGGGUACUUGUUUAAGUGAGUGUACUAUAAAAUUAUAUGAAAGGGAUAAACAACGUAAAGCAGCUUUAGCUGCAAUAUAUAUUUAUAAACUACAAAAACGGAAAAAUUAUCGUAAAAAACGAUAUUGGAUAGAGCUAAUAUUCUAAGAACGCGAUACGCAUGGAUUUUAUCAUGCCAUAUUUCCCGUCAUCGUAUUGGAAGAAAGUAGAUUUAGAAAUCAUUUUCGUAUGUCUUCUACCCAAUUUGAAAAUUUAUUAUAACAUUGCUCGACGCUGCUUGACGCUUGAAGUUGGUAUGAUUCAACUUCUUCCUCUUGACGCUAGCGUCAAAGUGACGUCAUGUGAUGACGCUCAACGCUGGCUUUCAGCGUCUCAUGAAUUUGCACCUUUAAGAGUAAGAAAAAAAUCGGAGUAAGGCACAAAAGGAGAGAUGGCGACAGGAAGAAUUGUCAUGAAGAUGUGGACCAAGCGGUUUACAGAGAGAUGGCCAGGAGACAAGAAAGAACAGGACAGAAACGAAGAGAAGAGAGUGAGUCGGAGGAGGGCAAUAAAUGGCAGUAGGCGGCUGAGUGAAGGAAAUCGAGUGAUCGAUGCGUCGAGAUGGAGCAGAGCGCAUGGACAAGAGAAGAGAGGGACCGUAUCGAGAUGGAGCCGUGCAGAAGAAGAGAGAAACACCAAUGGACGGCAGAUGGAUAAGCGAAGGAAAGAUACGGAUAGAUAGCGAUAAACAGGCAAAGAGAAAUUAUUGUAACCGCAUGCAACGGCUGAAUCAUACACGACUACAUGACGGUGGAGGGAGAAAAGAGGGGGAAAUUUUUCAACAAAAUCGUUGUAAUAAAAUUGGUAUAAGAAUCACAAAAGAUGUA
Monomorium pharaonis (pharaoh ant) is the source of this 3059-nucleotide long non-coding RNA. RefSeq lists it as uncharacterized. Lineage: Eukaryota; Metazoa; Arthropoda; Insecta; Hymenoptera; Formicidae. The record is from RefSeq and is a predicted model, not a curated record. The transcript has 2 exons.